RNAcentral lists this ribosomal RNA (336 nucleotides) under Triticum aestivum (bread wheat). RNAcentral's name for it is "partial small subunit ribosomal RNA". Lineage: Eukaryota; Viridiplantae; Streptophyta; Magnoliopsida; Poales; Poaceae. The record is from RNAcentral.
AUGAACGUGCUCCGACUGGAAUCUCGUCUUGCUGGCGUCGUCGACUACCUCGCUCUACUGAAGGUUGCGGUGUCGCGAAUCGACACAGCGCUCUGGCAAAGGGGGGCGCUCCAGAAUGACCUCGAGUCUCUGAUGACUCGACCCAAUGAAAUCCCCGGUCGAGUGCAGGAAUGGAAGAAGUCUUCUGCCCGAUGUGGUGCUGAUGUGGCUCUAUCUCUGGUUCGCGUCCACUACAAGGAAGACAAAGAAGAGAAGCUAGCAGCGAUCAAGGUUGCCAACACCAAGAAGCUUGACUUCCACUCCUUCAUGGAGACUUUUAUUGCUGCUGCCACUUGA